CACCCUGGACAAUUUACCUUUCCUUAUAAUGGCACAUAUUUUGAUGGCUGGUAACAUGGAAACAGUUACAGACAUAUAGUUAUUAUUGAACACUGAUAGAAAGUCGUAUAUGGACUUUCAUUUAAUUAAUUGAGUUCUCCUCCAGUGAAAGUACCACCCACUUCUACUGGGAGACUGAUCUCCUGCAUAAAGACCUGAGGACUUUAACAUAGCAGUAGAACCUGACAACCUCACAAAUUUAGGUUGUUAUUGAUUUUUGAAAGAA
This is a long non-coding RNA of Sphaeramia orbicularis (orbiculate cardinalfish), 265 nucleotides long. RefSeq lists it as uncharacterized. NCBI's taxonomy places the organism in Eukaryota, Metazoa, Chordata, Actinopteri, Kurtiformes, Apogonidae. The record is from RefSeq and is a predicted model, not a curated record. The transcript is spliced from 3 exons.